AUUGAACGCUGGCGGAAUGCUUUACACAUGCAAGUCGAACGGUAGAGGGGGGCAACCCCUUGAGAGUGGCGAACGGGUGAGUAAUAUAUCGGAACGUACCUUAUUGUGGGGGAUAACGCAGCGAAAGCUGUGCUAAUACCGCAUAAUCCCUUAGGGGGAAAGCGGGGGACCGUAAGGCCUCGCGCAAUUAGAGCGGCCGAUACCUGAUUAGCUAGUUGGUGAGGUAAAGGCUCACCAAGGCAACGAUCAGUAGCUGGUCUGAGAGGACGAUCAGCCACACUGGGACUGAGACACGGCCCAGACUCCUACGGGAGGCAGCAGUGGGGAAUUUUGGACAAUGGGGGCAACCCUGAUCCAGCAAUGCCGCGUGAGUGAAGAAGGCCUUCGGGUUGUAAAGCUCUUUUGUCAGGGAAGAAACAGCAGCUCUAACACAGUCUGCGAAUGACGGUACCUGAAGAAUAAGCACCGGCUAACUACGUG
Molecule: ribosomal RNA, 480 nt
Filed under: uncultured bacterium
Lineage: Bacteria
Description: bacterial SSU rRNA
Rfam family: Bacterial small subunit ribosomal RNA
Source: RNAcentral